Molecule: ribosomal RNA, 1352 nt
Filed under: uncultured bacterium
Lineage: Bacteria
Description: bacterial SSU rRNA
Rfam family: Bacterial small subunit ribosomal RNA
Source: RNAcentral
GAUGAACGCUGGCGGCGUGCUUAACACGUGCAAGUCGAACGAUGAACCUCACUUGUGGGGGGAUUAGUGGCGAACGGGUGAGUAACACGUGAGUAACCUGCCCUUGACUCUGGGAUAAGCCUGGGAAACCGGGUCUAAUACUGGAUACGACCUCCCCGCGCAUGCGGUGUUGGUGGAAAGCUUUUGUGGUUUUGGAUGGACUCGCGGCCUAUCAGCUUGUUGGCGGGGUAAUGGCCUACCAAGGCGACGACGGGUAGCCGGCCUGAGAGGGUGACCGGCCACACUGGGACUGAGACACGGCCCAGACUCCUACGGGAGGCAGCAGUGGGGAAUAUUGCACAAUGGGCGCAAGCCUGAUGCAGCGACGCCGCGUGAGGGAUGAAGGCCUUCGGGUUGUAAACCUCUUUCAGUAGGGAAGAAGCCGGCCCUUUGGGUUGGUGACGGUACCUGCAGAAGAAGCGCCGGCUAACUACGUGCCAGCAGCCGCGGUAAUACGUAGGGCGCAAGCGUUAUCCGGAAUUAUUGGGCGUAAAGAGCUCGUAGGCGGUUUGUCGCGUCUGCCGUGAAAGUCCGGGGCUUAACUCCGGAUCUGCGGUGGGUACGGGCAGACUAGAGUGCAGUAGGGGAGACUGGAAUUCCUGGUGUAGCGGUGAAAUGCGCAGAUAUCAGGAGGAACACCGAUGGCGAAGGCAGGUCUCUGGGCUGUAACUGACGCUGAGGAGCGAAAGCAUGGGGAGCGAACAGGAUUAGAUACCCUGGUAGUCCAUGCCGUAAACGUUGGGCACUAGGUGUGGGGGACAUUCCACGUUUUCCGCGCCGUAGCUAACGCAUUAAGUGCCCCGCCUGGGGAGUACGGCCGCAAGGCUAAAACUCAAAGGAAUUGACGGGGGCCCGCACAAGCGGCGGAGCAUGCGGAUUAAUUCGAUGCAACGCGAAGAACCUUACCAAGGCUUGACAUGAACCGGAAUGAUGCAGAGAUGUGUCAGCCACUUGUGGCCGGUUUACAGGUGGUGCGUGGUUGUCGUCAGCUCGUGUCGUGAGAUGUUGGGUUAAGUCCCGCAACGAGCGCAACCCUCGUUCCAUGUUGCCAGCGGGUUAUGCCGGGGACUCAUGGGAGACUGCCGGGGUCAACUCGGAGGAAGGUGGGGACGACGUCAAAUCAUCAUGCCCCCUAUGUCUUGGGCUUCACGCAUGCUACAAUGGCCGGUACAAAGGGUUGCGAUACUGUGAGGUGGAGCUAAUCCCAAAAAGCCGGUCUCAGUUCGGAUUGAGGUCUGCAACUCGACCUCAUGAAGUUGGAGUCGCUAGUAAUCGCAGAUCAGCAACGCUGCGGUGAAUACGUUCCCGGGCCU